GUCGAGAAUCUUUCACAAUGGGGGCAACCCUGAUGGAGCGACGCCGCGUGGAGGAUAAGGUCUUCGGAUUGUAAACUCCUGUCAUGCGUGAACAAGGUUGCUUGGUUAAUACCUGGGCAAAUUGAUGGUAACGCAAGAGGAAGAGACGGCUAACUCUGUGCCAGCAGCCGCGGUAAUACAGAGGUCUCAAGCGUUGUUCGGAAUCACUGGGCGUAAAGGGUGCGUAGGUGGCGUGGUAAGUCAGAUGUGAAAGCCCGGGGCUCAGCCUCGGAACUGCAUCCGAUACUGCAAUGCUAGAGUACUGGAGAGGUGACUAGAAUUCUCGGUGUAGCAGUGAAAUGCGUAGAUAUCGAGAGGAAUACCAAAGGCGUAGGCAGGUCACUGGACAGUUACUGACACUGAGGCACGAAGGCCAGGGGAGCGAACGGGAUUAGAAACCCGGGUAGUCC
RNAcentral lists this ribosomal RNA (449 nucleotides) under uncultured bacterium. RNAcentral describes it as "partial 16S ribosomal RNA". It matches the Rfam family "Bacterial small subunit ribosomal RNA", at positions 354 to 796 of the family's 1533-position model. The record is from RNAcentral.